CCUACGGGUGGCAGCAGUGAGGAAUAUUGGUCAAUGGACGCAAGUCUGAACCAGCCAUGCCGCGUGCAGGAAGACGGCUCUAUGAGUUGUAAACUGCUUUUGUACGAGGGUAAACUCAGAUACGCGUACCUUUCUGAAAGUACCUUACGAAUAAGGAUCGGCUCACUCCGUGCCCGCAGCCGCGGUAAUACGUAGGAUUCAAGCGUUAUCCGGAUUUAUUGGGUUUAAAGGGUGCGUAGGCGGUCGGAUAAGUUAGAGGUGAAAUCCCGAGGCUCAACUUCGGAAUUGCAUCUGAUACUGUUCGGCUAGAGAGUAGUUGCGGUAGGCGGAAUGUAUGGUGUAGCGGUGAAAUGCUUAGAGAUCAUGCAGAACACCGAUUGCGAAGGCAGCUUACCAAGCUACAUCUGACGUUGAGGCACGAAAGCGUGGGGAGCAAACAGGAUUAGAUACCCGAGUAGUC
This 460-nucleotide ribosomal RNA is filed under the name uncultured bacterium. Its description in RNAcentral is "partial 16S ribosomal RNA". It matches the Rfam family "Bacterial small subunit ribosomal RNA", at positions 338 to 795 of the family's 1533-position model. The record is from RNAcentral.